GCGACCCCAGGUCAGGCGGGGCUACCCGCUGAGUUAAGCAUAAUCAAUA
RNAcentral lists this ribosomal RNA (49 nucleotides) under Opuntia robusta (nopal tapon). RNAcentral describes it as "26S ribosomal RNA". The record is from RNAcentral. Lineage: Eukaryota; Viridiplantae; Streptophyta; Magnoliopsida; Caryophyllales; Cactaceae.